Molecule: unclassified non-coding RNA, 178 nt
Filed under: fungal sp.
Lineage: Eukaryota; Fungi
Description: partial internal transcribed spacer region
Rfam family: Eukaryotic small subunit ribosomal RNA (bases 1-46)
Source: RNAcentral
AAGUCGUAACAAGGUUUCCGUAGGUGAACCUGCGGAAGGAUCAUUAGCAAAAAGCGUGGUGGACAGAAAUGUCUACUGAAACUUGUGAACCGCGGGGCUUAGCCCUGUGCAACAAAUACAAGAGAAUGAUUUUGGCAGUAAUAAAUAACAACUUUCAACAAUGGAUCUCUUGGUUCCU